AAAGGGAGAAAGAGAGAGAGAGAGAGAGAGAGAGAGAUUGUAUCAGGAUGGGAUGGAAGAACUGAAUAGGACUAAUGUCUCUUUUUCUUACAAAAGUGGAGAAAAUUUCUUAUGUGUUUUUAAUUAGAAAUAUUUUCUCUCUCUCUCUCUCUCUCUCUCUCUCUCUCUCUCUCU
RNAcentral lists this microRNA precursor (174 nucleotides) under Olea europaea subsp. europaea. Lineage: Eukaryota; Viridiplantae; Streptophyta; Magnoliopsida; Lamiales; Oleaceae. The record is from RNAcentral.